RNAcentral lists this unclassified non-coding RNA (423 nucleotides) under Hevea brasiliensis (rubber tree). Lineage: Eukaryota; Viridiplantae; Streptophyta; Magnoliopsida; Malpighiales; Euphorbiaceae. The record is from RNAcentral.
CACGCUCAUCCAACAUCACAACCUAUGGGUAAAUGAUCAUAGAAGAUAGAUAAACAAAUAAUAAGCAAACUAUCAAGGGUGAGAAAAGCGAUAGUUUCAAUUAUUUUUGGUGACAACAUAUCCCUAAAUUAAACUUUUCUAUUACUCCGUGACCAAAGUGUUUUCCAGGGUACCCAAUUUUAUCAAUAACAAGAGGCAAUUACUUCAAUGAAAAAGGGGUUACAAAAAUACAGCCCAAACAUUAGCAUUUUCUAAAAAACAUAAUCAAUCAUUGAGUCUCAAAGUUACUCUUUGAGACAAUUUAACAAAUACAGAAUGUGUUUUUCCAACAAAAUCUGAGAGUAAAAACAUCUCAACUUCAACAAAUAAAUUGACAUGGAAAUGUUGUUAAGAGGCAAUACCCAAUCAUCAGACCUUAUAAGG